Cyprinus carpio carpio is the source of this 1865-nucleotide long non-coding RNA. The record is from Ensembl. NCBI's taxonomy places the organism in Eukaryota, Metazoa, Chordata, Actinopteri, Cypriniformes, Cyprinidae.
UAGGGGUCAUUAGAGGGUUCUGGGUGGUUGCUAUGUAGUUCUUAGGGGAUUCGGGGUGGUUACUAGGGUGUUGCUAGGAGUCAUUAGAGGGUUCUGGGUGGAUUCUUCUUGUUAGGGGAUUUGGGGUGGUUACUAGGGUGUUGCUAGGAGUCAUUAGAGGGUUCUGGGUGGAUUCUUCUUGUUAGGGGUUUGGGGUGGUUACUAGGGUGUUGCUUGGAGUCAUUAGAGGGUUCUGGGUGGAUUCUUCUUGUUAGGGGUUUGGGGUGGUUACUAGGGUGUUGCUAGGAGUCAUUAGAGGGUUCUGGGGGGUUGCUAUGUAGUUCUUAAGGGAUUCGGGGUGGUAAUUAGGGUGUUGCUAGGGGUCAUUAGAGGGUUCUGGGUGGUUGCUAUGUAGUUCUUAGGGGGUUCUGGGUGGUUACUAGGGUGUUGCUAGAAGUCAUUAGAUGGUUCUGGGUGGAUUUUUGUUGUUAGCGGUUCGGGGUGGUUACUAGGGUGUUGCUUGGGGUCAUUAGAGGGUUCUGCGUAGUUGCUAGGUAGCUGUUAGGGAGUUCUAGGUACUUCACCCCUCACAACACUCUUAUCUUCAGGUCUGUAGAUGUGGCUCGGUUCCCUCCUUCAAAGUAAGCCUGUGAGAUUUUUUUAAACCCAUUUUUUUUUUGUCCAGCAGGUGAAAAUAUUUAGGGUCACUUAUAAGUACUAAUGCUUAGUGUUUUGAACAAACUCCUAGCACUGAGCACUAGUAACAGUGAUGCUUGACUUAAAAAAAAAAAAGUAAUAACACGAUCAUCAUUUCCAGCAUGAGUUGAUCAUCUGUAAUACCUGCCGUCCCACCCAGUCUAACAGACACAAAAGAUCUGCUCAUUCCUUCUUCUGCUUCAUGUGUUCAGAACAAAUAGUGAUCAGCUGCUAAACACGUCACGUUUGCUUUCUACGCAGGCAGGAAGCAGUGAUGUGAAACUGCCACCAUGCCAUUUUAUGGAUUGACGUAAUAAAGCACAAACAUUCUGACAUGAUCAUCUAACAUGUUUCAUGGAAGAAAGAAAUUAAUAUGGUUUGGAGUGACACGUUGAAAUAAAAAAAAUCAUAAUGAUGACAAAACCAGACAAAAUUACCAGAUAAAAUGUAAAAAAGUCAUAAUUAUGGAUAAAAAAGUAAACAUUUUGGAAUUAUGGCAUAAAAUAUAAUUAUUAAAUAAUAAGUCUAAAUCAUGAAUAGAAUUGAUGUUAUAAAACAAACUUUUUUGUUGAAAAGUCAAAAUUAUUACAAAAUUAAAAUUAUGAGGUUUAAAUUAGUAGAUAAAAGUCAAAAUUAUAACAAAAUGUCAACUAUAAGAGAAGUAAAAAAUGUAAUUAUGAGAAAUCGAAAUUAUGACAAAAACAUCAUCAUGAGAUGAAAAAGUUGACAAAAUGUCAUAAUCAUUAAAAAAAAAAGUCUAAAUGAUGAAAAUAAUAUGGGUUUGCGACAUGUCAUAAUAAAAGUUUAAAAUAUAGGUUAAAAAAUCUCAAAGUAAGACUUUUUUUAGAGGAAAAAAAAAUCUAGAUUGAAAUAAUAAAAAAAUUCGAAAUUAUGACAAAAUGUCAGUUAUGAGAUUAAGAAAAACAAAAUAUGACAUUUAAAAAGUCAUAAUUUUGAGAAAAAGUAGAAAUCUCAAAUCAAAAUUAUGACAUAAAAUGCCAUAAUUAUGAAACAUAAAGUCUUAAUUAUGAAACAUGCUUUUAGAGAUUAACAUUAUAAAACAAACAUUCUGACUAAUAUCAGCUAACAUGUUUUAUGAAAGAAAGGACAUAAGAGUAAUUUAGAUUAGAUCAAACUUUAUUGUCAUUGCGUUAAAUCUAAUCUAAUCUAAAUUACCCUUAUCAUUUCCU